Molecule: ribosomal RNA, 458 nt
Filed under: uncultured bacterium
Lineage: Bacteria
Description: partial 16S ribosomal RNA
Rfam family: Bacterial small subunit ribosomal RNA
Source: RNAcentral
CCUACGGGAGGCAGCAGUGAGGAAUAUUGGUCAAUGGGCGAGAGCCUGAACCAGCCAAGUCGCGUGAGGGAGUACUGCCCUAUGGGUUGUAAACCUCUUUUGUCGGGGAGCAAAAGCCGGACGUGUCCGGCUGUGAGAGUACCCGAAGAAAAAGCAUCGGCUAACUCCGUGCCAGCAGCCGCGGUAAUACGGGGGAUGCGAGCGUUAUCCGGAUUUAUGGGGUUUAAAGGGUGCGCAGGCGGAUUUUUAAGUCAGCGGUCAAAUCGUGGGGCUCAACCCCAUCCAGCCGUUGAAACUGGGGAUCUAGAGUGUGCGAGAGGUAUGCGGAAUGCGUGGUGUAGCGGUGAAAUGCAUUGAUAUCACGCAGAACCCCGAUUGCGAAGGCAGCAUACCGGUGCACAACUGACGCUCAGGCACGAAAGCGUGGGUAUCGAACAGGAUUAGAUACCCCUGUAGUC